Molecule: ribosomal RNA, 496 nt
Filed under: uncultured bacterium
Lineage: Bacteria
Description: partial 16S ribosomal RNA
Rfam family: Bacterial small subunit ribosomal RNA
Source: RNAcentral
GAUGAACGCUGGCGGCGUGCCUAAUACAUGCAAGUCGAGCGAACAGAUGAGGAGCUUGCUCCUCUGACGUUAGCGGCGGACGGGUGAGUAACACGUGGAUAACCUACCUAUAAGACUGGGAUAACUUCGGGAAACCGGAGCUAAUACCGGAUAAUAUAUUGAACCGCAUGGUUCAAUAGUGAAAGACGGUUUUGCUGUCACUUAUAGAUGGAUCCGCGCCGCAUUAGCUAGUUGGUAAGGUAACGGCUUACCAAGGCGACGAUGCGUAGCCGACCUGAGAGGGUGACCGGCCACAGUGGAACUGAGACAGGGGCCCGACUCCUACGGGAGGCCGAAGGAGGGAAUUUUCCGCAAGGGGCGAAAGCCUGAAGGGGCAACCCCGCGUGAGGAAUGAAGGUUUUCGGAUCGAAAAACCUUUUUAUUGGGGAAAAAAAAAUGUGUAAGUAACUAUGCACGUCUUGACGGGCCCUAAUCAGAAAGCCACGGCUAACUAAGU